Molecule: ribosomal RNA, 348 nt
Filed under: uncultured soil bacterium
Lineage: Bacteria
Description: bacterial SSU rRNA
Rfam family: Bacterial small subunit ribosomal RNA
Source: RNAcentral
AGAAUCAACGCUGGCGGCGUGCCUAACACAUGCAAGUCGAACGCGAAAGGGGAGCAAUCCCUGAGUAGAGUGGCAAACGGGUGAGUAACACGUGGGUGACCUGCCUCAGAGUGGGGGAUAACGUCCCGAAAGGGACGCUAAUACCGCAUAACAUCCUGCCUUUGGAAAGGCGGAGAUCAAAGCCGGGGAUCGCAAGACCUGGCGCUUGGAGAGGGGCCCGCGUCUGAUUAGCUAGUUGGUAGGGUAAUGGCCUACCAAGGCAACGAUCAGUAUCCGGCCUGAGAGGGCGACGGACACACUGGGACUGAGACACGGCCCAGACUCCUACGGGAGCAGCAGUGGGGAAUA